This 412-nucleotide RNase P RNA is filed under the name Lachnospiraceae bacterium. RNAcentral describes it as "RNase P RNA component class A". It matches the Rfam family "Bacterial RNase P class A". Rfam says of the family: Ribonuclease P (RNase P) is a ubiquitous endoribonuclease, found in archaea, bacteria and eukarya as well as chloroplasts and mitochondria. Its best characterised activity is the generation of mature 5'-ends of tRNAs by cleaving the 5'-leader elements of precursor-tRNAs. Lineage: Bacteria; Bacillati; Bacillota; Clostridia; Lachnospirales; Lachnospiraceae. The record is from RNAcentral.
UAAGUAGAAUAAAUAAUCGCGGCCGCAUUUCUAAAGAAUGCGGGUGAGGAAAGUCCGGGCUUCACAGGGCAGGAUGCCGGAUAACGUCCGGUGGAGGCGACUCCAAGGCUAGUGCAACAGAAAUAAACCGCCGCAGUUCGACCCAUGCCGUUUUGUGGGAAGAAUCCCAAAGGGAUUCUUCCACAGUUCGGCUCAUGCCGAACUGUUGGUAAGGGUGGAAAGGCAGUGUAAGAGACUACCGUCCGUCUGGUAACAGGCGGAGCCAUGUAAACCCCAUCCGAAGCAAGACCAAAUAGAAAGCGACAGGCUUGCCCGGCCUGCUUUCAGGUAGGUCGCUUGAAAUUACCGGUAACGGUAAUUCUAGAUAGAUGAUUAUUCAUGACAUAACCCGGCUUAUCGUUCUGCUUAAUAU